RNAcentral lists this ribosomal RNA (413 nucleotides) under uncultured bacterium. Its description in RNAcentral is "bacterial SSU rRNA". It matches the Rfam family "Bacterial small subunit ribosomal RNA", at positions 505 to 916 of the family's 1533-position model. The record is from RNAcentral.
GUGCCAGCCGCCGCGGUAAUACGUAGGGGGCGAGCGUUGUCCGGAAUUAUUGGGCGUAAAGGGUGCGUAGGCGGCAUGCAAAGUCACCUGUGAAAAACCUCGGCUUAACCGGGGGCUUGCAGGUGAAACUAGUAUGCUUGAGUGCAGGAGAGGAGAACGGAAUUCCUGGUGUAGCGGUGAAAUGCGUAGAUAUCAGGAGGAACACCAGUGGCGAAGGCGGUUCUCUGGACUGUAACUGACGCUGAGGCACGAAAGCUGGGGGAGCAAACAGGAUUAGAUACCCUGGUAGUCCCAGCCGUAAACGAUGGAUACUAGGUGUAGGCACCGAUGAAGGUGUCUGUGCCGCAGCUAACGCAUUAAGUAUCCCGCCUGGGGAGUACGGUCGCAAGGCUGAAACUCAAAUGAAUUGACGG